Long non-coding RNA from Oncorhynchus keta (chum salmon), 590 nucleotides. RefSeq lists it as uncharacterized. The transcript has 4 exons. The record is from RefSeq and is a predicted model, not a curated record. Lineage: Eukaryota; Metazoa; Chordata; Actinopteri; Salmoniformes; Salmonidae.
GUUAGAGCAGGUAGCCUCGUGGUUAGAGCAGGUAGCCUAGUGAUUAGAGCAGGUAGCCUAGUGGUUAGAGCAGGGAGCCUAGUGGUUAGAGGAGGUAGCCUAGUGGUUAGAGCAGGUAGCCUAGUGGUUAGAGCAGGUAGCCUAGUGGUUAGAGCAGGUAGCCUAGUGGUUAGAGGAGGUAGCCUAGUGGUUAGAGCAGGUAGCCUAGUGGUUAGAGCAGGUAGCCUAGUGGUUAGAGCAGGUAGCCUAGUGGUUAGAGGAGGUAGCCUAGUGGUUAGAGCAGGUAGCCUAGUGGUUAGAGCAGGUAGCCUAGUGGUUAGAGCAGGUAGCCUAGUGGUUAGAGCAGGUAGCCUAGUGGUUAGAGGAGGUAGCCUAGUGGUUAGAGCAGGUAGCCUAGUGGUUAGAGCAGGUAGCCUAGUGGUUAGAGCAGGUAGCCUAGUGGUUAGAGCAGGGAGCCUAGUGGUUAGAGCAGGUAGUCUAGUGGUUAGAGCAGGUAGUCUAGUGGUUAGAGCAGGUAGCCUCGUGGUUAGAGCAGGUAGCCUAGUGGUUAGAGCAGGUAGCCUAGUGGUUAGAGCAGGUAGCCUAGUGGU